GUAGAUUCCGUGUUCUUCCGUGUGUUGGCAGGAUUUACCUCUAAAUAUACAGGUCGUGGAGCAGGAGUCGAGUGCAAGUGAGAAAGCGGAAAUUCCUGUCUGAUUGCCGGCAACGACAGCCACAGCCACAGCGGCGGCCAGCAAGCGAGGAGCGGUGUCGCUUGGGGCUCGGGGCACGCCAUUGCCGUUGCUCUGGAGUCUGGAGUCGGGGGACCGUCCCGAUUAUCCCUCCGCCCCAAUUUCGGCCCUCACUUUCCUCUGAUACGGUUCACAAUUAUUUGAGCUCAUGAGCCCCGGCAGGACUCCGAUUUUAUGCUCCAGCCUUUCGUUCCCGUCCCAUGUCGCCGUCGUCGCACCGUCCUCUCUGUCGAAGCCGGUGACUAGACAAUGAUGGGUCCGACUACGGUCAUGUCGAACGGAAACGCGUCGGCCAUCAGCAAGAGCAAGCUCGAGAACGGAACCGGAAAUGGGCAUCACGUUUCCGCGUCCAGCGAGGAUGACGUCACCAUUAUUGGUGAUCCCGUCGAUAAAAUAAACACCAGCACCGACAGCCACUGUUCAAGUUUAUCUGACGGGGAAAACUACGAAUGCUAUGGUGAAGUCGACAUGGAUACAUCCCCCCAGAUCUUAAUGGAUCUGCAAACAAGAGUCCUUUCAGCUCAAAUUUAACAAGAAAUACAUGGCUACGCACUAGUUUAAGGAGAUCUUCACCGAGUCACAAUGACAACCUGCCUAAUCGAAAAUGGGGCUCGUUUCGUCAAUCGUAAGUAACCAAUUAUUAAUUUCAUUCAACCUUUGCACUGUUUGAAUUUUUGUGUUCCAAUGAUUGUCACGCCUCUUAAAAAAUUCUUCUCAUCAAAGAGCAUUUCAUUGAAAGAUAUUGCCUCAACCAAAUAUUUCCAUAAAUACCGGAAUUGAGAAUAUUAUGUGUCUAUUAAUGAUGGAAAACAUUUUUCCUCGCCACUGGCUGCAAAUAGCAAUCUUUUAAAGCAGAGGGCAACUACAUUCACGUGCUCUGAUUUAAAUUUGAUCAUUUCAGAGGAUUAUAUUUAACAUUGCCACAACCUUUCCUUUAGAAAACCCUGCUGCUAUUGAAUAAAACUGCAAAAAAGUAGAUAUUCAUGAUUGUUCUCCAGAAUUUUCAUUUAUUUCUAACACGCGGCCAUCCAUUUGAUGAAAUACAUGUUUCCUUGUCAGUAUUUAACAUCACUCGUGUGUUAAAUCUUUACACGAGGACUCUAACUCCAUGAAAUCUGCUCUGUCCUUUAUCAGUUUCUUUCAACAGUUAUACGAGAUUUUAAAACGCCUACAGAAUUGAAGGUAGGCAAUUUCAUACACACACACGUGAAAACCGACUCUGUACCGCGGGUUGCGUCUCGCGUCGUGCGAAGGAGCAUGUUAACCGUCUUGGUGUUCCUCUUGAGCAGAACGGAUAGAUGCGGCAUAGCAAGCGGUUUUAUCUCGUUUGCCCCGCACCAGAUCCCAAACGAUAGUGCGCUUUUUACUACCAAAUCAAUCUCUUUUGGAAAAACACGAAUCUUCGUAGAUUUCGGUCUUCGCUCCUAAGCUCAUGCCUCCGUUCUUGAAGCCAAAAGAUGUGAGUAUCGCCGUAACACAAAUGUUCCUGUAAAGUAUACUUCAUCACCUGCAAAAUAUCCAAAAAUCUCGGAAUACCGGGAGUGGGC
This 1685-nucleotide long non-coding RNA is filed under the name Bemisia tabaci. RNAcentral describes it as "lncRNA ENSSSA1NGG014133". The record is from RNAcentral. Lineage: Eukaryota; Metazoa; Arthropoda; Insecta; Hemiptera; Aleyrodidae.